ACUCCUACGGGAGGCAGCAGUGGGGAAUUUUGGACAAUGGGCGAAAGCCUGAUCCAGCAAUGCCGCGUGAGUGAAGAAGGCCUUCGGGUUGUAAAGCUCUUUUGUCAGGGAAGAAACGGUGAGAGCUAAUAUCUUUUGCUAAUGACGGUACCUGAAGAAUAAGCACCGGCUAACUACGUGCCAGCAGCCGCGGUAAUACGUAGGGUGCAAGCGUUAAUCGGAAUUACUGGGCGUAAAGCGUGCGCAGGCGGUUUUGUAAGUCUGAUGUGAAAUCCCCGGGCUCAACCUGGGAAUUGCAUUGGAGACUGCAAGGCUAGAAUCUGGCAGAGGGGGGUAGAAUUCCACGUGUAGCAGUGAAAUGCGUAGAUAUGUGGAGGAACACCGAUGGCGAAGGCAGCCCCCUGGGUCAAGAUUGACGCUCAUGCACGAAAGCGUGGGGAGCAAACAGGAUUAGAUACCCUGGUAGUCCACGCCCUAAACGAUGUCUACUAGUUGUCGGGUCUUAAUUGACUUGGUAACGCAGCUAACGCGUGAAGUAGACCGCCUGGGGAGUACGGUCGCAAGAUUAAAACUCAAAGGAAUUGACGGGGACCCCCACAAGCGGUGGAGCAUGUGG
Molecule: ribosomal RNA, 616 nt
Filed under: uncultured bacterium
Lineage: Bacteria
Description: bacterial SSU rRNA
Rfam family: Bacterial small subunit ribosomal RNA
Source: RNAcentral